UCGCUUGAACAUUCAUUCAUCGUCCAAUAAAGCGGCGAAUAGCAGACAAAAACGCCGAGCAAUUAGUUCAUUUUUCACGAUCCUUUCUGAAUUUACUUUGUUUCUCACCUAAAAGAAGUAGCAAGGGUUGUGUUUUUAGCUGUUGCGAAAAAAAUACGCACAAAAGGCAAACAAUACAAAGUGUUGUGAUUUAAAAUAUAAUAUAAAGCAAUUGACGCACAAAGUUCGGAAGAACAACAAAAUUUGAAAAAUGGAGAACCCAAAUGAAUUUCCGGCACCAUCUGGAUCAACAACUGAUUUUCCUGUUUUACCCCCGCCUCCGAACUCUGCCAGUCCCAGCAAUAAUAAUCAAGGGCAGAAGCGACUUCAACAAACCCAAGCCAAGGUCGAAGAGGUGGUCGGUAUUAUGCGCGUGAAUGUGGAAAAGGUUCUGGAGCGCGAUCAGAAGCUAUCGGAACUGGGUGAGCGUGCUGAUGCGCUGGAAGCCGGUGCCUCGCAAUUCGAACAACAAGCUGGCAAGUUGAAACGCAAACAAUGGUGGGCCAACAUGAAAAUGAUGAUAAUUAUGGGUGUGAUCGGUGUGGUUCUCUUAAUUAUCAUAAUCGUUAUGCUCUUUUAUUAACCGGUACCAAUUAGCAGUUGAAGAUCAACAUUUUAAAUAUAUAUAUGUAUGUUCUCUAUAAGUGUGUGUUUUUGUCUAUACAUGUAUGUGUCCAGUGUUUUCAGUUUCUUUAAUUAAGCAUUUUUGAAUUAAAAAGCGGUAAAUAGUUGUUUAAGUAGGAAAAGUAAAAGUUUGCACCGACGCAAUACGUCUGAAAGCCAUUUUAUUUAAAGUUAUCCUUCCUGCCAUCUGGCAGUAGCAGCUCUGAUUCACAUAACCAAAUUCAAAACACGGCAUCACCUUAAAAAGCUCAGACCGUAGUGGCCUUAUGAUGAUUCCUUGUUGUUUUGAUUGAAAGCAUUGUACGUGGUUUUUAAAAAAUGCACAAAAUGCCAGCGCACAAUCAAUAUGCAUUGGAUCGUUUCUUUAAUAUACAGUUCUAACUGAAUGUCUUUAAACAGUAUACAAAAAAAAAAAAACAAAAAAAAAA
RNA transcript from Bactrocera latifrons, 1091 nucleotides. It is a transcript of the gene named synaptobrevin, with no coding region annotated. Lineage: Eukaryota; Metazoa; Arthropoda; Insecta; Diptera; Tephritidae. The record is from RefSeq and is a predicted model, not a curated record. The transcript is spliced from 5 exons.